This 264-nucleotide ribosomal RNA is filed under the name uncultured Prevotella sp. RNAcentral describes it as "partial 16S ribosomal RNA". It matches the Rfam family "Bacterial small subunit ribosomal RNA", at positions 92 to 354 of the family's 1533-position model. The record is from RNAcentral. Lineage: Bacteria; Pseudomonadati; Bacteroidota; Bacteroidia; Bacteroidales; Prevotellaceae.
CGACCGGCGCACGGGUGAGUAACGCGUAUCCAACCUUCCCAUUACUGUGGGAUAACCUGCCGAAAGGCAGACUAAUACCGCAUAGUCUUCGAUGACGGCAUCAGAUUUGAAGUAAAGAUUUAUCGGUAAUGGAUGGGGAUGCGUCUGAUUAGCUUGUUGGCGGGGUAACGGCCCACCAAGGCGACGAUCAGUAGGGGUUCUGAGAGGAAGGUCCCCCACAUUGGAACUGAGACACGGUCCAAACUCCUACGGGAGGCAGCAGGA